Molecule: unclassified non-coding RNA, 145 nt
Filed under: soil metagenome
Description: partial internal transcribed spacer 1
Source: RNAcentral
ACGAGUUAGGGCCUCUGGCCCGAACCUCCAACCCUUUGUAUCAAACCUCGUUGCCUCGGGGAGGCCCUGCCUCACGGCUGGCCCCCCGAUGGACCACUAAACUCUGCAUCUGUAUGACGUCUGAGUAAAGAUUUUAAUUAAAUCA